This 253-nucleotide non-coding RNA is filed under the name Aridibacter sp. RNAcentral describes it as "partial 16S ribosomal RNA". It matches the Rfam family "Bacterial small subunit ribosomal RNA", at positions 524 to 776 of the family's 1533-position model. Lineage: Bacteria; Pseudomonadati; Acidobacteriota; Blastocatellia; Blastocatellales; Blastocatellaceae. The record is from RNAcentral. RNAcentral also lists the same sequence under 3 other names.
UACGUAGGGACCAAGCGUUGUUCGGAUUUACUGGGCGUAAAGGGUGCGUAGGCGGCGUGUCAAGUCAGUUGUGAAAUCUUAAGGCUUAACCUUAAGCGGUCAACUGAUACUGUCAUGCUAGAGUGCAGAAGGGGCAAUCGGAAUUCUUGGUGUAGCGGUGAAAUGCGUAGAUAUCAAGAGGAACACCUGAGGUGAAGACGGGUUGCUGGGCUGACACUGACGCUGAGGCACGAAAGCUAGGGUAGCAAACGGG